GGACAGAGCUGGAGGCAGUGUGGCGGGGGGUGUCUCAGACCUGCAAAAACCCAUCCCUACUGAACCUCCACCCAGAUAUGCAUCUGGGAAAGCAUUAGCAAGGCCCGGCCUUGAGUGCAGCGACGGGGCAGCCAUCUGCUUCGGAAGCUGUCAGCCCACCCUCUGGCUAGACCCUGUGGAGCACCCGGUGGUAUGACCUGAUGGAGUCUUGCUCUGUCGCCAGGCUGGAGUGCAGUGGCGCAAUCUCGUCUCACUGCAACCUCCGCCUCCUGGGUUCAAGCGAUUCACCUGUCUCAGCCUCCUGAGUAGCUGGGAUUACAGGCACGUACCACCACGCCCAGCUAAUUUUUGUAUUUUUAGUACAGUUGGGGUUUCACCAUGUUGGCCACACUGGUCUCGAACUCCUGACCUCAGGUAAUCCGCCCUCCUCAGUCUCCCAAAAUGCGGGGAUUACAGGCGUGAGCUACCGCACCUGACCUCAACAAAUACUUUUUAAACAUCCACUAUGUGCCCGGCACUGCUAGACACUGAGACCACAAGGGUGAACCAGCCAUCACAAGGGUGAACCAGCCAUCAGAAGGAACAGAAACCUAACUCAAACCAGAUUAAGCAAAGAGAUGAGUCAACCAGCACAACGGCCGGGUGUGGGCCAGGCCAGGCCAGGGCCAGGGCUCACCCUGGUCCUCAGGGCUCUGCCGUUCCGGCUCGGCUCCCCGGGGCUGGCCCCCUCCGUGCUCAGGCAGCUCAGUCACCUUCCGAGAAAAGAGAAGCUUGUUCCCACUGGCUCUGGCAAGAGAGUUGGGGGAGGACGCCGCCAGGCCUGGCUUGGUGCCUGUGCCCUCCCCUGAACCAAUCACUGAGGCCACGGGAAUGAAAUCCCUCAUCACCGGGCCUGGGGCCAGGGUCAGACCAGAAUUGGGGCCUUCCUAGGGGAAGGGAUGCUGGGCCCACCACCAGCAGAGUGGUAGCAAGUGUGUCCUUUGGGUCCAGCUGUCUUGAAUCCUGACUCCCUCCCACAAACUGUGUCACCUUCAUCUUCCCGUGCUGUUUUCUCAUCUACAAAGUGAUAAUAGUACCUCUGCAUAAGACUGUUGUGAGGAUUAAAUGAGUUAAUGUGUCAAGUGCCUAGAACAGUGCGUGGCACGUAGUCGAGUGCUAUGUGGGCCUGAUGACUACUGCAGACGGGCCUGCGCAGCUGUGUGCCAGCGCAUUCAUGACUUCAUUCCAAGGGGAGUAAACA
Homo sapiens (human) is the source of this 1240-nucleotide long non-coding RNA. RefSeq lists it as uncharacterized. The record is from RefSeq and is a predicted model, not a curated record. The transcript is spliced from 3 exons. Lineage: Eukaryota; Metazoa; Chordata; Mammalia; Primates; Hominidae.